This 538-nucleotide long non-coding RNA is filed under the name Mus pahari (shrew mouse). RNAcentral describes it as "lncRNA (MGP_PahariEiJ_G0012567.1)". Lineage: Eukaryota; Metazoa; Chordata; Mammalia; Rodentia; Muridae. The record is from RNAcentral.
CAUCAAUCUAGCGGGAGGGAAGGGAUAACCUGUCCGAGCGUAGCGCGACGCUAGGAUCGCGCCGGAAAACCCCCCAAAAAAUCAUCAAAAAAUUUAACUUAGACCAAAGGGCAGUCGGCGGGGCUUCGCCAGAUGCGGCGCAGUCGAUUCUAACUGUUAGAAGAGUACCAAUUCUGGAAAACAACCAAAGUUUCUUUGAAUGAAUGCCCACGUAAUGCAUUGGAAUAUAAUAAGAGAUUAAGGUUUAACAAUGUUAAAAUGAAGAUAUUACUAAAAUGGCCCUCUAAAUAGCCCAACAAUUAUUAUUUUCAUUAUCCUAUGAAUUUGGCUUUGAAAGGUGUGCUGCUCUUAAUAAGCUUUUCAUUCUGCUAGCCAUACUUUCUCUCCCUACUCUGGACUCUUCUAGAUGUCCCCAGCUGUGCUCUCCUUCAUAAUCUACAAACCCUCUCCUCAACCAUACUCUGGACCAGUCAUGUCCUCGUUUCAGACACUUAUUUUCUGGUAAGAAACUGAAUUCUUUCAAUGCAUGCUUCCUUAG